AUUCUAAGACUCCAGAAAGAUGUCUUAUCAGCAGCAGCAGUGCAAGCAGCCCUGCCAGCCACCUCCACCUAUAAAGGAUACAGAAGAAGCUUCUCCACCCUUCAGCCGGCAGUAUGCCUGUGGUGAUUCCUGACUGCCAGAGGAUUCUCUCCCUCCCUUGGGUCUGUCUGUCACCUGGGCAGGGGUUUCUACCAGCUGGUCAACUGUUGCUUAUCCUCCUCUUCUCAAAUAAACUACAGUUCCUUUGUAUGAUGUCAAAAAUGUUUCCUUUCUUUCAAAAUUGUUUUUAGUAAUACUAUACCAUCAUCAAGUUUUGUUUCUAUCCUUUGAUGCCAAGGUUCAAGCUUGCACAACCAGCGUUGCUAAAUUUUGAGUCUUACCAAAGAAUACUUUUACAUAAUUUCAAUUCCAUGUUAUUUCCUUAAUUAUCACUUGAUGAUUUGAGGAACAAAAUAUUUGCCUCUUCAGGUUUUCAGUCCUUUUAGUAAAAUGUAGGGAAAAUCGUAUUUUCAUUUCAAACUUCUGAGGAAUCAAUAUUCAAUGAAUGUGUAUAAUUCAGGUGGCA
Bos grunniens (domestic yak) is the source of this 565-nucleotide long non-coding RNA. The record is from Ensembl. Lineage: Eukaryota; Metazoa; Chordata; Mammalia; Artiodactyla; Bovidae.